CCUACGGGAGGCAGCAGUGGGGAAUAUUGCACAAUGGGGGAAACCCUGAUGCAGCGACGCCGCGUGAGUGAAGAAGUAUUUAGGUAUGUAAAGCUCUAUCAGCAGAGAAGAAAAUGACGGUACCUGAUUAAGAAGCCCCGGCUAACUACGUGCCAGCAGCCGCGGUAAUACGUAGGGAGCCAGCGUUAUCCGGAUUUACUGGGUGUAAAGGGGGAGUAGACGGGAGGACAAGUCUGGAGUGAAAUGUAGGGGCUUAACCCCGGAACUGCUGUUGAUACUGGGCAGCUAGAGUGCAGGUGAGGUAGGUGGAAUUCGUAGUGUAGCGGUGAAAUGCGUAGAUAUUAGGAGGAACACCAGUGGCGAAGGCAGCUUACUAGACUGUAACUGACGUUGAGGCUCGAAAGCGUGGGGAUCAAACAGGAUUAGAUACCCCUGUAGUC
RNAcentral lists this ribosomal RNA (440 nucleotides) under uncultured bacterium. Its description in RNAcentral is "partial 16S ribosomal RNA". It matches the Rfam family "Bacterial small subunit ribosomal RNA", at positions 338 to 795 of the family's 1533-position model. The record is from RNAcentral.